This is a small nuclear RNA of Vicugna pacos (alpaca), 138 nucleotides long. The record is from Ensembl. NCBI's taxonomy places the organism in Eukaryota, Metazoa, Chordata, Mammalia, Artiodactyla, Camelidae.
GUGCUCUGUAAUAAGGAUAAAAGUAUCUGCCUCCGGAAUCAGAGCAGCAUGUAUACCAAGGUUGGAAGGAUACAGAGAAGAUUAGCAUGGCCCCUGCACAAGAAUGACAUGCAAAUAUGUGAAGCAUUACAUAUUUUU